ACAUGCUUGCAUUAAUUCAGUAUUUCAUGAUUCAGGAGUAGUCUGGUGGUCCAUUGGUUUGUCUUGCGGAAAAAAGGCACAAAAUUGACACCAUUUUUGGAAUUGCAAGUUGGGCUGUCAACUGCGAGAAAAAACUCUAAGCCUGGCAUCUACACCAAUGUGCCAUAAUUUGUCGACUGGAUUGGUGAAAUAAUGAGUGAAACAGGACAAAUCCAUUCAAGUGCUGGCAACCUGAAUCCCCAUCAGACGGAAAAUAUGGAGCCGGAAGGAACAGAAGCUGUGAGGAUGUGGUACUACGCAGUCACCUGGAGAAAUUAACAUGGAAACCAAAGGCCAGAUGUAUCUCAAUGGUUUCAG
Molecule: long non-coding RNA, 357 nt
Organism: Xenopus laevis (African clawed frog)
Lineage: Eukaryota; Metazoa; Chordata; Amphibia; Anura; Pipidae
Exons: 3
Source: RefSeq, a predicted model, not a curated record